Molecule: long non-coding RNA, 2024 nt
Organism: Micropterus dolomieu (smallmouth bass)
Lineage: Eukaryota; Metazoa; Chordata; Actinopteri; Centrarchiformes; Centrarchidae
Exons: 8
Source: RefSeq, a predicted model, not a curated record
CUUUGUGUAAUCUUUGGUGGAGAAGCUUUGAUUGUCUUGGUGUCACUACCUUCUCGGUCAGCCCUCUUCCUCUGUUCCCCCGGGUCUUUUGGAUUACCCGCCUUCUGGAGCGCGCAUGUGGAUUUACGUGGACUCGUGUUGGACUGCCUGCCUGCCUCACCUCCGUUGCGUCUGAGGAGGACGCUCGGCGAGUUACUUUGACAAAGUCCUUGAAAAUCAGCCCUACAUGACGGCACCUGGGCCGGCUCUGACUCCGUCAACCCGAAGGUCUCUCCUGUAAAAGAGAUUUUUGAUCGCAAUGGGACUUCCUCGUAAAAAAGAGCUCUACCACCCUCCUCCCCGUCUCUGCUAGGCCUACAGUAGCAUCCUUCCUCACAGCACUGGGACUCCAAGACCAGGGAAGACGCAGCAGAAGUGUGAUACCAACAGCAAAGGGCCGUGAAGACCAGGAUCCACAUCUUCUUCACCAAAGAGGGAACCUGUUCUGCAGAACGUGUCGUGGUCGAACGUCAGAAACUCACGGAGGACGUCAGACGCUGAGACACAGGCGUCCCGCUCAGCUGCAGGACAGAAUCGAGCUUCCUGCACCCUCAGGAGGAUGGGAAAGGUAAGAGAAGCCGGUGACUCACGCUCUUCAGAGCGCAGGACUAACACUGCCCGGGGCCAUCAGGUGGAGAGAUCUUCAGUGAUUUAAUCCUCUGUGGAUCUGACAUGGCUGGAUCUGGAGGUGUGGGAGCUGCAGGGGGAGUUAUUAAUGAUACCUCUGAGAAUAUUUUGGCUGCAGCUUCAGGAGGCUCAUCUAGCUACUCAGCAUGGAGAGCUAUUCGGAGGAGGAGUGAGCACAAAUCCAUCAAAAGGGCAAACUCCUGAACACCCAGCAUUAAUUUAGGCCGACUGUCCCCAGCAGACAGACGACACCUCCGGUCCGAGGGCAGAGGUUUGCUUUCACACAGCCUGCAGUCUGCAGGUCAUCACAGAGGGACGCUUGCUCAGGACCCCUGGGCAUCAGUUUUUAACGCACUGGGAAUUCAUUUAGCGUCAUUGUUCAAUGCUAAAAUCAGGCCUGGUGUCAAUCACAGAAAAGGAGGUGGUUGGGCCAGAAACUGGACUUUCACCCAGGAGACGGUGUGUGAAACAAAAAGUAACGUAGUUAUUUUAACCCAAAAAUGAACUCAGAUCUGAACUGCUCUCCGUCUGUAGUAAAACGACUGAAAACAUCACGUGACCGUUCACGUACACUGAGCAUGUGCGGUGUAAACAGGAAGCAGAUUGUCUGCUCCGCAGCUGCAGAAGAAAGUUCUACUGGAGACGAACGCAGAGCAGCGACGGUGAAGAACCACAGCAGAGAUUUCUCUGCACGGAGCGACAGCGAGGUGGAACUGAGAGGAACACGGGAGGACGGAGAGACGGCGGCGGGAAACAGACUGCGAGUCGACGCAAAGCAAAUACGGAAACCUGCACAGGACAAGUGUAGAAGUGUUAUUGACACAGUACAGUGUGUUUGAAUAAAACUCUGUCAGCAGCAUCGUGUUUCUGCUUUGACUGACUGACGGAGCGUCACCGUUUCCACCUGGAGUUUAAAACCAAAACAAGAUCAGCAAACCAAAACGUAGCCGUGUGGAUGGAGCAACGUUACAAUUAUAGCCCGCUAACUCUUAACGAAGCACUUGUUCAAACCUAACCAAACCUUCAGCAUAGCGUCAUAAAAGUGAGUGUGAGCGCCGUGGAAGGUGGAGACAAACGGUGUUACCCAGGAGACAUUAGGUUUCUCUCAAGCUCAUCUGCUGUUGUAAAAAACAGAUUUUUAAUAGUAACUAGAAACUAACUGUAAAAUCUGCAGAGGUACCAGAAGAAACAGUUGCACGAGCUUCCAAAAUUAUUUGUGCAAAAAUCAUUAAUACAUGAGGUCCAAACUUGAGGGUGGGCGGUGAAAUGAACAGACGCAGAAUAUCAGCUGAUCUGGUAAAGAAAUGAAAGUGAGUUAACGCAGAGAGGGAGAAGCAGGUGUGUCGACGACCUGCAGG